Non-coding RNA from Acanthosepion pharaonis, 119 nucleotides. NCBI's taxonomy places the organism in Eukaryota, Metazoa, Mollusca, Cephalopoda, Sepiida, Sepiidae. The record is from the annotation of a GenBank genome assembly.
GGCCACUUCACGUUGAAACACCCUUUCUCGUAUGAUCUCAUAUGAUCACCAGAGUUAAGCAACGUCGAGUCUGGUCAGUACUUGGAUGGGUGACCGCUUGAGAAUACCAGGUGCUGUAA